AGUGAACGCUGGCGGUAGGCCUAACACAUGCAAGUCGAACGGCAGCACAGUAAGAGCUUGCUCUUACGGGUGGCGAGUGGCGGACGGGUGCGGAAUACAUCGGAAUCUACUUUUUCGUGGGGGAUAACGUAGGGAAACUUACGCUAAUACCGCAUACGACCUACGGGUGAAAGCAGGGGAUCUUCGGACCUUGCGCGAUUGAAUGAGCCGAUGUCGGAUUAGCUAGUUGGCGGGGUAAAGGCCCACCAAGGCGACGAUCCGUAGCUGGUCUGAGAGGAUGAUCAGCCACACUGGAACUGAGACACGGUCCACACUCCUACGGGAGGCAGCAGUGGGGAAUAUUGGACAAUGGGCGCAAGCCUGAUCCAGCCAUACCGCGUGGGUGAAGAAGGCCUUCGGGUUGUAAAGCCCUUUUGUUGGGAAAGAAAAGCAGCAGGUUAAUACCCCGCUGUUCUGACGGUACCCAAAGAAUAAGCACCGGCUAACUUCGUG
RNAcentral lists this ribosomal RNA (492 nucleotides) under uncultured bacterium. RNAcentral describes it as "partial 16S ribosomal RNA". It matches the Rfam family "Bacterial small subunit ribosomal RNA", at positions 29 to 507 of the family's 1533-position model. The record is from RNAcentral.